GAUAGGCCUCGCCGUCCAGAAAGUGAGUGGCAAGCCAAACUCUGUCCCUCUCCUCGACGAAGGUAUCUCGAAACAGCUUCUCCAUGUGCAGCAACCACUUCUCAACAAUCCAGUGGUCGACGUUCUCGCCAUCAAACGUCCUCGGGCUGCACCUCCUAAACUCACUGAGGCGAUCCAUGAGCCGAUCCCGCUCGGCUCCCUCGGCCAUCACGGGGAACGCCGCCCUUG
This 228-nucleotide long non-coding RNA is filed under the name Ananas comosus (pineapple). RNAcentral describes it as "long non-coding RNA (ACOM_LNC035029)". Lineage: Eukaryota; Viridiplantae; Streptophyta; Magnoliopsida; Poales; Bromeliaceae. The record is from RNAcentral.